CCAAGCAACGGCCUCCCCGCCCCACGGGGUCAGCUCCGCAGCACUGGACUGACUGCCUCGCCCGCCCAGCAGGGGGCCGCGGGGCGGGAGUCCCGAGCCGGCAGAGCAGGGCGGCAACAGCUCUGUGGUGGGGCCCAGAUAGACUCAGCAGGCGCAUCGGCCAGUGUCCGCGGCUACCAGGCGCAUGCGCAACAUAGCACGGGCAAAAAGAAUGUGCGCAUGCGCUAAUAUCCGGGAACUCUCUCAAUUCUAAUAUGUUACUGGGGAGCUGCAGUAUAAGGUCCCUUCGAUAGCUCAGCUGGUAGAGCGGAGGACUGUAGAGGAACUGCGGGAAUCCUUAGGUCGCUGGUUCGAUUCCGGCUCGAAGGAGACGCUCUUUUUCUUUCCUGUCAAUUUUUAUUUGGACAUUGAUUUAUUUACGAUGGUGGUCUUACAAUACUGGCUCAAGUCUGGGCCUUGAAUUAGAUCUCAAGAAUAUGAAGACAAUGGUAAAGAAAGAAAAAAAAUGAGGAUUAAAAUGCAAAGAAGAGAGCAGGAGUCAGAGUAAGAAGGACUGGCUACAAACAUCAUCUUCAGUGCAAGAUCUCCAGUGCAACUGACUUGGAAGCCAGAAUUCCAUAUAAUGCUUCUCCUGAUGUGGAUAAAGUCCGUUGCCUUUGUUCAGCCAUCUUAUCUGUGCAUUACCAAGUCUACCGAGGAGGAAAAAAGAACAACUGGGAUUGCAUAUGUAGGGA
This is a long non-coding RNA of Pelodiscus sinensis (Chinese soft-shelled turtle), 734 nucleotides long. RefSeq lists it as uncharacterized. NCBI's taxonomy places the organism in Eukaryota, Metazoa, Chordata, Testudines, Trionychidae. The record is from RefSeq and is a predicted model, not a curated record.